This 252-nucleotide ribosomal RNA is filed under the name uncultured bacterium. Its description in RNAcentral is "partial 16S ribosomal RNA". It matches the Rfam family "Bacterial small subunit ribosomal RNA", at positions 524 to 776 of the family's 1533-position model. The record is from RNAcentral.
UACGGAGGGGGCUAGCGUUGUUCGGAAUUACUGGGCGUAAAGCGCACGUAGGCGGACUACUAAGUCAGGGGUGAAAUCCCGGGGCUCAACCCCGGAACUGCCUUUGAUACUGAUAGUCUCGAGUCCGGAAGAGGUGAGUGGAAUUCCGAGUGUAGAGGUGAAAUUCGUAGAUAUUAGGAAGAACACCGGUGGCGAAGGCGGCCUACUGGUCCGGUCUGACGCUGAGGCGCGAAAGCGUGGGGAGCAAACAGG